Molecule: ribosomal RNA, 464 nt
Filed under: Vreelandella stevensii
Lineage: Bacteria; Pseudomonadati; Pseudomonadota; Gammaproteobacteria; Oceanospirillales; Halomonadaceae
Description: partial 16S ribosomal RNA
Rfam family: Bacterial small subunit ribosomal RNA
Source: RNAcentral
CCUACGGGUGGCUGCAGUGGGGAAUAUUGGACAAUGGGCGAAAGCCUGAUCCAGCCAUGCCGCGUGUGUGAAGAAGGCCUUCGGGUUGUAAAGCACUUUCAGUGGGGAAGAAAGCCUUGGGGCUAAUACCCUCGAGGAAGGACAUCACCCACAGAAGAAGCACCGGCUAACUCCGUGCCAGCAGCCGCGGUAAUACGGAGGGUGCGAGCGUUAAUCGGAAUUACUGGGCGUAAAGCGCGCGUAGGCGGUCUGAUAAGCCGGUUGUGAAAGCCCCGGGCUCAACCUGGGAACGGCAUCCGGAACUGUCAGGCUAGAGUGCAGGAGAGGAAGGUAGAAUUCCCGGUGUAGCGGUGAAAUGCGUAGAGAUCGGGAGGAAUACCAGUGGCGAAGGCGGCCUUCUGGACUGACACUGACGCUGAGGUGCGAAAGCGUGGGUAGCAAACAGGAUUAGAUACCCGGGUGGU